AACAGCAAGGGUAGAACCUCUUCUGAGUUUUUUUUCCCUCCCCCAUGGUCUAUCACAGAAAUAUUAAGAUAUGAAAGAAAAACUUUAACCAGGGCUGGGAAAGCAAGAUAAUUCCAAGGAUAAAAGUAUAGACUGUCAGCCAUACUUCCUGGCCAAGCACUGCCUCCAUAGCCCCACUGGAGGAAAAGGAGGUCUCCAGGAAAUUCAGGGGACUCCAGCCCCACAGGAGCCCACCCAAGAAGGAUAUGGCCAUGCAGGUUUGUAAACCUUUGACAAGACAACUUAUAAUAAUUAAACAUGUCGACUCGUUGAUCAAAAAAAAUUUUUUUUCAGAAAACAAAAGAAGGCCUUUGAGAGAUUAGCUCACCAGUGGGAUUUUUCACAAAGAAUGAUAAUUUUUCUAAAUUACAAGGCACAGACUUAAGAAUAGAGAACACCCAUUCAUACAGGAUGACAGCCACAGAAUGCUAAGCAAACCCCUUCCACCACUGACUUCUUUGAUUUUAAUUAGUGUGUGUGUGCUCUUUUUAUUUCCAGAAAGAAUUUCAGGUAAUUCCUGAGCGCAGGCCACAGAAGGCAAGAAAUAAAAGACUUCUUACCUGGACUAAUGUGCAUUUACUUUCCAACUCAUGGAUUCGCCCCUAGAUCUGUGAAGCAGCCACAAGUGGCCUGGAUGUUCGGGGUGUUUUAUACCUUUUUUGGCCUUAAUACUUAUUUGCAAGGUUUGUGUCAAUUUACAGGCUGAUGUGAUGAUUUCGAAAAUAAGAUUAUUCCUAGUAGCUUGUUUCAGUCUUGAUUAAAAGAUAGAUGUAAAAUAUGCAAAGAAUGAUGUCUGAAGACUUAAAGAUAAAAUUUACAUGGAAGCCACUAGUUUGAAGAGUUUCAAUCAGCUCCUCCAGCUCUUGUUUUUCUAAAGAAAAUUUGAAUAGCAUAUGCUUUUCAUUGUGCUCCUUUUCAGCCAUUUACAUAUUGGGGAAAUGUAUAUUUGGCAGCCGGUCCUAUUUUUAGGAGUCCUGGAAACUUGCCCUUUGAAAAUGUUUUCAUUUUUGGCACAUAUGUGUGUCUUAAACAGAAUGAAAACACAAAGCCAAAAAGAAAAAUAUGUACAAAAAGGAAUGAUUUUUCCAGCCCUGUGUAGCACAAUAAGAAAGCAAUCAUUCAGUUGUGACUUUAAAAAUGGAUUCUUGCCUGGAUUUUCCAACAAUUUCCUUCUAAAUGAGCGUUUUUCUGCAGAACUGAACUAAUGUAAAGAGACAAGUUGUUUCAGUGCCAGAACUGAACAAGCCAAAAAAAAAAAAAAAAAAAAAGGAUGGAGGCUAUAUUUUCAUAGGAGGAACUUAAAAUAAUACCCACUCUGUUUCUCUGCAGCUUCUCGGGUCAAUUCAGAAGAAGGUGCCAUAUGCCCAUUGCGUGACUUGAAGCGUGUUCUCCCAGCCUGACUCUUGGUCACCACUCGUUCUGUUAUUUGCAGUCAGUAACAAAGAUUCAUCCUUGUGUCCGUCAUGCAGCAAGGAGAAUCUUUGUCACUUAGUGUAAUUAACAGCUGGAUCUCGCAAGGCAAGGUGGGAGAAGGAAGCUGUUCGUGCAUAGACUCGGAUAAAUUCAGGGCAGGCUUUGCGGAUCCUUUCUGCCUUUUGACCAAUUAAGAUGCCAGAGCUCAAGCAGAGGAGGAAAUAUGGAAAACCCAAAUGCAGAUUCCUGUGACAUUAAGUGGACAAGAUGAAGAGUUAGCUCCUGCUGUAAUCCUGCUAUCAUCAAUCUGUGGAAUCUACCAGAAAGUGAAACCAGGCAGAGACUUGGGAGUUAAUCCCAGACUCCUUCCCCUAAAUGAUCCCUCCCACACCCUCCAAGUCGUGUCCACAUCCUGCUGAGCAGAUCAUGUAAAGUCACCUGAGCCUGUCCUCUGCUCUCUGUCCCCAGCACAUCCUCUCCAGUGUAGAAUUAGGAAUGGCAUUACAGUCCCUUCACUGUCUUUUACCUGCGCCCCAGAAGUAUUUACCCUUCAGCAACUCUGUUGCUCACACCAUCAACAGAGCUCUGGACCUGAGAGAUGGAUGUGGGGGUGACUGGAAAUUCAGUUCUCAGUGCCGCCCUGUCACUCACUCUCCACCUCGGCAUUCACAGCUUACCAAAGACCGACGCAGCCUUCUGGUAGACCCAUAAAUGGAGGCUACCAGGACCACAGCAGAAGCUGGUUCACAUCCUGUGGUGGCACACAAGGUUUUCCAAGGCCCAGUUUCCACUGCAUUUUAAUUUGAGCAAUACUGGACUGCCUGGAGGUCCCCAAACCCACCAGCCUUUGCACGUGUGCUCCCAGCAAAAUGCUCUG
Long non-coding RNA from Sapajus apella (tufted capuchin), 2329 nucleotides. RefSeq lists it as uncharacterized. The record is from RefSeq and is a predicted model, not a curated record. Lineage: Eukaryota; Metazoa; Chordata; Mammalia; Primates; Cebidae. The transcript has 3 exons.